GAGGGUAUAGCUCAAGUGGUAGAGCACAUGCUUAGCAUGCAUGAGGUCCUGGGUUCAAUCCCCAGUGCCUCCU
This 73-nucleotide transfer RNA is filed under the name Camelus bactrianus (Bactrian camel). It matches the Rfam family "tRNA". From Rfam's summary of the family: Transfer RNA (tRNA) molecules are approximately 80 nucleotides in length. Their secondary structure includes four short double-helical elements and three loops (D, anti-codon, and T loops). RNAcentral also lists the same sequence under 2 other names. The record is from Rfam by way of RNAcentral. Lineage: Eukaryota; Metazoa; Chordata; Mammalia; Artiodactyla; Camelidae.